AACGAACGCUGGCGGCAUGCCUAACACAUGCCAGUCGAACGAGACCUUCGGGUCUAGUGGCGCACGGGGGCGUAACGCGGGGGAACCUGCCCUUAGGUUCGGAAUAACUCCCCGAAAGGGGUGCUAAUACCGGAUAAUGUCUUCGGACCAAAGAUUUAUCGCCUUUGGAUGGGCCCGCGUUGGAUUAGCUAGUUGGUAGGGUAAAAGCCUACCAAGGCGACGAUCCAUAGCUGGUCUGAGAGGAUGAUCAGCCACACUGGGACUGAGACACGGCCCAGACUCCUACGGGAGGCAGCAGUGGGGAAUAUUGGACAAUGGGCGAAAGCCUGAUCCAGCAAUGCCGCGUGAGUGAUGAAGGCCUUAGGGUUGUAAAGCUCUUUUACCCGGGAUGAUAAUGACAGUACCGGGAGAAUAAGCACCGGCUAACUCCGUG
RNAcentral lists this ribosomal RNA (433 nucleotides) under uncultured bacterium. Its description in RNAcentral is "partial 16S ribosomal RNA". It matches the Rfam family "Bacterial small subunit ribosomal RNA", at positions 29 to 507 of the family's 1533-position model. The record is from RNAcentral.